RNAcentral lists this ribosomal RNA (382 nucleotides) under Acanthamoeba sp. MMN-2011/T4. RNAcentral describes it as "SSU rRNA". It matches the Rfam family "Eukaryotic small subunit ribosomal RNA", at positions 796 to 1082 of the family's 1831-position model. The record is from RNAcentral. Lineage: Eukaryota; Discosea; Longamoebia; Acanthamoebidae.
CGAAUACAUUAGCAUGGGAUAAUGGAAUAGGACCCUGUCCUCCUAUUUUCAGUUGGUUUUGGCAGCGCGAGGACUAGGGUAAUGAUUAAUAGGGAUAGUUGGGGGCAUUAAUAUUUAAUUGUCAGAGGUGAAAUUCUUGGAUUUAUGAAAGAUUAACUUCUGCGAAAGCAUCUGCCAAGGAUGUUUUCAUUAAUCAAGAACGAAAGUUAGGGGAUCGAAGACGAUCAGAUACCGUCGUAGUCUUAACCAUAAACGAUGCCGACCAGCGAUUAGGAGACGUUGAAUACAAAACACCACCAUCGGUGCGGUCGUCCUUGGCGUCGGUCUUUCGGGGCCGGCGCGGGGACGGCUUAGCCCGGUGGCACCGGUGAAUGACUCCCUA